AAUAAAGUCCAGGGGGGUAAGGCAGCAGGACCCUCAAACUUGAGGUACCUGUUUGCAAGAAAACCAAAAACCUUGAUCUGGAUAUGGUGUUUACCUGCAACGUAUAGCAGCCAUACGAAACGAUUAAGGCCACGAUUUCGUGCCUCUUACACCAAAUCCCUAGCAUAUAAUUGUUCCAUGCUUCCUAGAUCCAUUACUCCUCAAACCACUUCAACAAAAAUCAAUAGAGAAAUCGAAGAAGAUAGCUCUCGGUAUACGAUUUUCGGAUUUUUCGAUGAUUCAAGAAAUAUUUGGAUGAGAUCGAUACUAUCCAACUCAGUUGCUUGCUUAUCUCGGUGUAAAUUGAUAUCACGAGAUCGACGUAGAUAAAGAAAACGAUGGGGAUGGGGACUGAGUUUGACGUGAUCAGUUCCAACAUAAAAUCAUGUGAUAAUCACAAUUAAUUAAAAUAAUGUAUAAUUAUAUAAAAAAUAUCUAAUUACAUUACUACCCUCAGUGAUAUAUUUUUAUUUAUUAUAAUUUAAAGAGUUAGUUAAAAAAAGUUAGAGGCCUGCAACUGUUCUCGCAUUUUCGUAAAUCACAGAGGUUCUCGUUUGAACUCUUCCCUAUAUUAAGGUUAGCUUAGGCGUAUUUUGAUUUAACUAGAUAUAUGAUAAUUGUAACGUGUUGUUUUGUAUUAAGUUAUUGACUUUAUAUAAUGUGAAC
Molecule: long non-coding RNA, 705 nt
Organism: Cynara cardunculus var. scolymus (artichoke)
Lineage: Eukaryota; Viridiplantae; Streptophyta; Magnoliopsida; Asterales; Asteraceae
Exons: 2
Source: RefSeq, a predicted model, not a curated record